This 32-nucleotide non-coding RNA is filed under the name Parcubacteria group bacterium GW2011_GWF1_45_5. The record is from RNAcentral.
GAAGAUAUAGUCCAAUCCUGCAGGCGACUGCA